RNAcentral lists this ribosomal RNA (460 nucleotides) under uncultured bacterium. RNAcentral describes it as "partial 16S ribosomal RNA". It matches the Rfam family "Bacterial small subunit ribosomal RNA", at positions 338 to 795 of the family's 1533-position model. The record is from RNAcentral.
CCUACGGGUGGCAGCAGUGAGGAAUAUUGGUCAAUGGACGAGAGUCUGAACCAGCCAAGUAGCGUGAAGGAUGACUGCCCUAUGGGUUGUAAACUUCUUUUAUAUGGGAAUAAAAUGUUCCACGUGUGGGAUUUUGUAUGUACCAUAUGAAGAAGGAUCGGCUAACUCCGUGCCAGCAGCCGCGGUAAUACGGAGGAUCCGAGCGUUAUCCGGAUUUAUUGGGUUUAAAGGGAGCGUAGGUGGAUUGUUAAGUCAGUUGUGAAAGUUUGCGGCUCAACCGUAACAUUGCAGUUGAAACUGGCAGUCUUGAGUACAGUAGAGGUGGGCGGAAUGCGUGGUGUAGCGGUGAAAUGCUUAGAUAUCACGAAGAACUCCGAUUGCGAAGGCAGUUCACUGGACUGAAACUGACACUGAGGCUCGAAAGUGUGGGUAUCAAACAGGAUUAGAUACCCCGGUAGUC